This 304-nucleotide ribosomal RNA is filed under the name uncultured bacterium. RNAcentral's name for it is "partial 16S ribosomal RNA". It matches the Rfam family "Bacterial small subunit ribosomal RNA", at positions 506 to 807 of the family's 1533-position model. The record is from RNAcentral.
CAGCAGCAGCCACGGGAAUACAGAGGGUGCGAGCGUUAAUCGGAUUUACUGGGCGUAAAGCGUGCGUAGGCGGCUUCUUAAGUCGGAUGUGAAAUCCCUGAGCUUAACUUAGGAAUUGCAUUCGAUACUGGGAAGCUAGAGUAUGGGAGAGGAUGGUAGAAUUCCAGGUGUAGCGGUGAAAUGCGUAGAGAUCUGGAGGAAUACCGAUGGCGAAGGCAGCCAUCUGGCCUAAUACUGACGCUGAGGUACGAAAGCAUGGGGAGCAAACAGGAUUAGAUACCCCUGUAGUCCCUGUCUCUUAUAC